RNAcentral lists this ribosomal RNA (253 nucleotides) under uncultured Turicibacter sp. Its description in RNAcentral is "partial 16S ribosomal RNA". It matches the Rfam family "Bacterial small subunit ribosomal RNA", at positions 524 to 776 of the family's 1533-position model. The record is from RNAcentral. Lineage: Bacteria; Bacillati; Bacillota; Erysipelotrichia; Erysipelotrichales; Turicibacteraceae.
UACGUAGGUGGCAAGCGUUAUCCGGAAUUAUUGGGCGUAAAGAGCGCGCAGGUGGUUAAUUAAGUCUGAUGUGAAAGCCCACGGCUUAACCGUGGAGGGUCAUUGGAAACUGGUUGACUUGAGUGCAGAAGAGGGAAGUGGAAUUCCAUGUGUAGCGGUGAAAUGCUUAGAUAUCACGAAGAACUCCGAUUGCGAAGGCAGCCUGCUGGACUGUAACUGACGCUGAUGCUCGAAAGUGUGGGUAUCAAACAGG